UGGGGAAUAUUGGACAAUGGAGGAAACUCUGAUCCAGCAAUUCUGUGUGUGUGAAGAAGGUUUUAGGACUGUAAAACACUUUUAGUAGGGAAGAAAAAAAUGACGGUACCUACAGAAGAAGCAACGGCUAAAUACGUGCCAGCAGCCGCGGUAAUACGUAUGUUGCGAGCGUUAUCCGGAAUUAUUGGGCUUAAAGGGCAUCUAGGCGGUAAGACAAGUUGAAGGUGAAAACCUGUGGCUCAACCAUAGGCUUGCCUACAAAACUGUUGAACUAGAGUACUGGAAAGGUGGGUGGAACUACACGAGUAGAGGUGAAAUUCGUAGAUAUGUGUAGGAAUGCCGAUGAUGAAGAUAACUCACUGGACAGAAAAUGACGCUGAAGUGCGAAAGCUAGGGGAGCAAACAGG
This 407-nucleotide ribosomal RNA is filed under the name Verrucomicrobiota bacterium. RNAcentral's name for it is "Verrucomicrobia bacterium partial 16S ribosomal RNA". It matches the Rfam family "Bacterial small subunit ribosomal RNA", at positions 355 to 776 of the family's 1533-position model. The record is from RNAcentral. Lineage: Bacteria; Pseudomonadati; Verrucomicrobiota.